UUUGCUCUUUGUGAUGUCGCAAGCAUGCUGGUGGUUGUUAUUUUUUAAUGAUAAAAAUGAGUGGGAAGUAAGCAUUACUACUGGUAUUUUGAAAUGACCUGGAAGGUACUGUCACUAAACAGAAGAGCAAGGGGCUCGAUAUUUUAGUGAAGCGACAACUAUUAGGAGCCAACAUAAAUUGAAGCCAAUGAAAUAUAGAUUGAAGAGAACUAAAUCCUAAAUGGACUGCUCAAUUAACUCAUAUCAGGGUUAAACUUGUUGUAAUGUUCACACUAUUACUUAAGAAAAAUAGAAGUGGAAUAAAAGACGACUUUGUCACUGCAGGGAGCCGAAUCUGGGAGCCACCCACAUGAUCUAUGACAUGAGCUAUAGCAAUGACUGUCCUCCUGUUCACUCUCUUGGGUAUUUAUGUACACAUAUGCAUAACCUAUCCCUGGGAAUGUUGGCCAGCACCACCUGUGGCUGUUGCAGUAGAUGUAGAACAUCCAUUCAACCACAGGAAUCAUGUAGUGUGUGUGUAUAUAUAUAUAUAUAUAUAUAUGGUACUGAUACAAAACUUUUGUCUCUCCUUUUUGCUUUAUUUCUGCUAGAUAACUUCCGACUCCGUAAUCAUGGUAGCAGGUCUCAAGUUCUCAGAUGCACAGCGAAUCACGAAUUACACAAUCCUUUACUGUGAACAAUUCAAUAUGCAUGCCAAGUGGGGCGCGGCUCUGAACUCACCAAGCGGGACUCCUCCAUACAUUACGAAAAUGGGAAGUGGUGGUUAUGCAGCUUCACAAACCGCUGACACAUGGAUUGGUGAACCUAGUGUCAUCCUGGUGCAGUGGGAUAAUAAGGGAGCGAAAAUAAAGAAGGACAUUCCACAUUCCAAAAGUAUCAACAGAGGACAAGACUUAGUCUAUUUUGAACAUGAAGAAGCACAGAAUGAAGGACAAAAGAAUGGCUCAGUCAGUGCACGCUUGGUGUUUGGCAACACAGUAUGGCUUGUGACCACUGCACUGGGCUGAUUGAUGUGCAUAUCAGCUGUGCGUGAUACGAUGUGACUGCCACCUCCGAUUUCUGUGAUGUGUACGUGGAGGAGUCCUGCUCAAGAUAUCUGGCACCAUAAAGUCGUGCUUUGCUUGGCACAUAUUUUGAACAGGUUGCAUUUAAAGAUAAUAUAAUUAGUGGUUUUGUGUGCAUUUGAGGAAGUCAGGCUCCACACCAUAGUUACAUUCAGCAGCUAAUAACUUUUAAAAAAUUGAGAUAUACAAGUUUUUUUUGUAGUACCCAUUCAGGAGCAGGCAACUAGCCAAUACCUGAAAGCGCCAAGGCUGCUUGAGUCCAAGCCCUUUAUCAAGAAUAUAAAGAUUGGUGUAAAAUAAACUUUCAUGUCUAAAUAUUUUGACAGUUCAAAUAGGGAAAUAAUACAUUUUCUCUUAUACUUUCCUUGGCUUCACUCUCUAUUGGCCUUGUAUGGCUGUUAGACCAUUAAAUGUGGCAUUAGACAAGACCCACAAUCAAAGUGCUACUUUCACCUGAAAAAGUGCUAAUGUGCCACUGCUGUAAUCUGGAGACUAGUCUGCCAUUGUGCUAAGUUUGUUAAACACUAAAUACGCCUAUCUGUUGUGCAGUAGAUAUGACAUGCCAAGUGUUCAAUGAAAAUUAAAGUUCUAGUUGCUCGCACUAAAAAGAAAAACAGAGAGAAAGACAUUGGAUAGAAGUAGAGCAGUUAAUAAGAAAAUAAGCAGUGUUGGGUUGGUAAAGGAAACCAUAUGUUAAAUAAGUAGCAUGUAUGUUUGUAAAGCUUCCUAUAUUUAAAGAGCACAGACUUGGAAGUAGUAGCAUGCCCCAUACACUCUCAAGUUCCAGCGAUCGCCACAGGGGGCGAAAAAUCAAACGCGGCGUAUUCCAGCAUGAGCGCGCAAGUGUACUUACUGUAAUUUGGUCGCAUACUGUAAUUUGUAUUUUUUCUGCUAGGGGCGCUCAACGCGGCUAAAUACUUGAUCUAUAAAUGUACAUAUAGUAACUGUCAAACAUAGUUAACGUGUAAUUUUUGCAGAAUAAAGAGACUAUUGUUUUUAUUAGACUUACAUUAUUAAAGCCUGCGCUUUAUUACUUGAAUGAAGGUUUUGAGACCUCACUGAUGCGUGAUAAGCAGCGGCCCACUGGUAUCGAUUGCAGUCCGGGCCGUUUAUCGAUUCAAAUUGUACGGCGGUUAAAUUUGUGAAUGGGGUGGUUGUUUCCUUUGAGCAACAGCACGCAGGUUCGUUUUAAUUGGACAACAAUAAUAUCUCAGCCAGUUUAUGCGUCCGACAUUCGGUAGCUGCUACCAGGCGAACAUGUUUAAAGACGGGGAAUUUUAUCAGCUGCGGCAUUUCACUGGCGUAAUGGCUACAUGCACGGGUUCCGUCCACAGUGAUCUGCCCUGUCUGGCCGCGUAAUGACGGGUUGCUUGAAACAAAAUGUGCUAGCUAGCGUGAAAACUCGUCGCUGGAACCGAGCACAGUCCACUGUCUGGAAACUACCCAAGAAAACGGAUUAACCUUGCAGCCUCUGGGUGUGUGCACCGGUGAGUAAAAAAACACUGCUUCGCAUUUUAAACUUUAAAUUUCAGUGGGUGCGAGACAGAUAAAACAGAUUCCUGUACUCUUUUUUUUUUUUCACAGUGGAAAAUCAUAAUAAAGUUAUUGCUCUUCAAAGGCAAAUCAAACAAGGCUCUUGUUAUUUUGUCACAUUGCUAAAAUUCCUAACACAGAGUACAAUAUGAAAAUAAAUAGUUUUGGCUGUGUCUGCAUGAAUGACACACUGCGAUAAAUUCCGAGCACAUUAGUGUAAGUGUACUUCCGGUGAUACAGUUGGACUAAUAUAAUUUGAUACGUAAUAAAAUUACUGUGUUUAUUGCCUAGUAACUGGCAAAACAUUUAAUCGAGGCUUCACUAAGCACAGCCCGCACAAGGACACCAUUGAACGAAAUGUACACUCAAAACAGUGUUGUGUGCGUGUGUGUGUGUGCUUUUCUGUCGUGGAGUGUUUUGUGCGCUGUUCUUAGUCAUACAUGAAUCACAAACUCACCCACACUUCCACCAUAGUAAUUGAGGCUGUUUCUUCUUUUGCCUCCAGCCUCCAGUUUGCUGCUAAUAUUUGAUCACCCCUUUGGACUCUAUUGUCUCUGGACAUACAAGUCAACAGUGAAUGUGUCACCACAGAGUCAGAAUCCUCGCACGGAAGAAGGACAAAAGAGAGAUUAUUGCUUUGCAAGCUGCCCACGCCAAGGCAUAAGAAGCUCAACGGUCACCAUAAUGACAAGUCCUCUUGAACUACGUGCCUCACCAUGAAAUGUUUGCAAGUUUAUCAGACAGAGGGCUGUGAGCCCUAUCAGGAAAGCAGCAGUCUACAGUUUUGUAUCGUACCGAGCGGAAAUGCUAAAAUUUGACAUACAAGCUUGCUUGAUUUUAAGGGCGUUUUAUGGCAAUCGGAGAAGUAACAAGUUGAGUCACAACUUGUUUGUUUUCUCGUCAUGCAGCAAGCUCCCACUUGGUGAUGCACAAACUCUGUCAUCUGCUAUUUGCUAAUCAGAUUGACGGGCAUUACAACCAAGUAUCACAUGCUGCAUCAUAGCGUUAAUUUGUUACAUGAAACUGCAAAGAACUUUAAAGCCUUCGAAACCACUCAGUGCAAUUUUGAGGAAAUGAUGCUUCAUGUUCACUGAAACUCUGGCAGUCACUUAUCACUUUAUUAUUCUAUUUUUUAUUUAAAGUACGCUCAGGGCCGUAUGCCAUUAAAGAGGGGAGUGGUUACAAAGCAGUAGAGUAAAAGAAACGAACAAGAGCAGUGAGUUCUGGUAAUACAAUGAUUCUCCUGAUUAUACAAUGUUAGCUAAUGUUUUGCUAAAAAAAGCUUGUUGUCGGUGAUGGCUACGAUACUUGAGGGAAGGUGGUUCCAUUCCUGAGAUGUAUGGGGGAUCAAAGAUUGAAAGAAAGACUUCGUGUAGCAAGAAUCAAUCCCUGCAUUACUUCGAUGAUCGAGGCAGUUUGAAAUGUACUUGAGGCCGCGGUAUGAAGUCGUCGUGAAGUGUGGUAUGACGGAAAAUUUUAUGAAAUAGCGAAACAUGGUGACUGUGGCAAUUAGCUUGGGGAAUAAGUGCUGGUUAGUUUCAUUAAGGUUAUACUCGCAAUAUGGUUAUAAUUAGAAAGAAUGAAACGAGCAGAGUUAUUUUGUACUAGUUUUAAGUGAAGUAGUAAGACUAACGCGACUGGGAUCCCAUAUUGGAGAUGCAUAUUCAAGUUUUGAGUGUAUCAGCAUCUUGUAAAGGUGUAGUUUUAAAGUAGACAGUGCUUUGGAAAAGUUGCACUGUAAGUACCCGAGCAGGUGAAUAGCAUUGUUAAUGACAUACUCUAUAUUGGUCCAAUUUAAAUUAUUUGUUAUGUGCACACCAAUAUAUUUAUAGGACAUGACAAAUCUAAGUGAACAUUGUUAAGAUGGUAAGUGAUAGGGUUAGAACUAGAUUGGGAUAUUGCAUUUUUCAUUUGUUAACUACAAAAGGCUCAUGUACAGUUUGCAUGAAAUCAGUGACUAGGCUAGCCCUGCACCGUAAGAGAUGCCUAGAACAGGCAACAUCACACAACUGGCCUACUCCACACUUUUCAAACAUGACAAACCAAUAAAAAUCAAUUUUUCUUUUUCUUCAAACAGCAGAUGACAUACCUGAGGACAGUGUAUUCACAAAAAGUUUUUGAAACAUACUUGAAGUCUGGCUUCAGCCAAUCAUUCAGCCAAUCAGUAGUGGACAAUCAAACAUUCAGCCAAUCAACCAUGGAUGAGCAAGGGAAGCCUCAGCGUGGGAACUUAUCUUCGUCACUGCCCUCACAAAUAUGUUUGAUUGUUGAAACGUUGGCUACAGGCUGAGGCUUCCCUUGCCCACCUCUGUUACUCAACUGACGUGUUCAUCUCCUUGUAACCUUCUUGCAUUAUUUGAACACGCAAACCGAGAUGUUUUUUAAUAUGAAACCGUAAAUUGCAUUUUACAAGGAUCCGUGAGCUAUAAUUGGCCAUACUUAUAUGUUUAUUUAGUGUCCUUGUUUAUACACAAUAUUUGCAGAGGUCCUUGUAAGCACUGUCGUUUCCAUUAUGUUCCUCGCCUUCCUAUGAGUAUUCCACUUGCGUCAAAGCCUUUCCUGCUGCACCUGAACACUAAAUGUGCAGCAGAAAUAUCAAUAACACAGAAUAUGUGCUCUAAAAUUUAGCACAACACUUUUUUUGUCUACACUUCGUGCCUAUCGCCAUUCUGUUAUGAAAACAAUGUGACAUUGCAGCUCGAGCUUACCUUCCUGACAGUACAUGUUUGCCAAGCACUUCUUAUGUUUCUUUUUUUAAUCUAGCUUAAAUCGUCAAAGGCAGACAACAUACGUAUAGUAUGAAACAUGUCAAAUAGCACUGUACGCAACACAAGCACGAGUGUAGCCGAGCACAAUAUCGUUGUCCUUGCUUUAGCGACGCCAAACACGUUGAGAAAACUUCGCUCGAUUUCAGUUUUUAAUUCCGUUAAAUAGAUUACUGUCUGUGUUUCUGUAUGUUGUAAACUCAGUAACUGACAGCAUUAGCUCCACCUGACCUGUACGAAAAUUGUGGUCAUGUACUGCUUCAUUCACGAUUGACAAUAAACAAUGUAAGCUUA
Long non-coding RNA from Dermacentor andersoni, 5656 nucleotides. RefSeq lists it as uncharacterized. The record is from RefSeq and is a predicted model, not a curated record. NCBI's taxonomy places the organism in Eukaryota, Metazoa, Arthropoda, Arachnida, Ixodida, Ixodidae.